RNAcentral lists this long non-coding RNA (4654 nucleotides) under Solanum tuberosum (potato). RNAcentral's name for it is "long non-coding RNA (STUB_LNC004043)". The record is from RNAcentral. Lineage: Eukaryota; Viridiplantae; Streptophyta; Magnoliopsida; Solanales; Solanaceae.
UUGUAUAACUAACACACAAUUUCGAUGUUGAAAUAGCAAAUUGGAUGUUGAGUAGUUCAUUUUCAAAGAUACCUUGUCCAAAAUGACUAGAUGAACCAAUGAAUCUAACGGGUGUACCGCUAGGUCCAACAUCCGAAUUGUAACGGAAUAUGCCAUUUGCACAAGGGGCAUCUGAAUUUGGGGACUUACCUAGGUACACAUCACCACCUAACGCACCCCAAAAAGUGGAAAUAAUACGAUAACUCAAACGAGAAUCAAGUUCUUUACCAGUUACGUCAAGUACUGGAGUAGCAUCACUAGGUAGGUUAAUGGGAUUUUGGGAAGUGAAAGUUGAUGAAAACACCACAAUGGGAACCAAACACAAACAUAACAAAAAUAAACACUUCAUCUUGUUUAAGCUACUAAUUUUAUUUGUGUAUUGCUUGUUUGUGACUCCUCUACACUAAUGAAGCCUUCUAUUUAUAGACUCAUCACACUCUCAUAUUCCUUGCCAUGUAUUAAAAAUGACUACAGUUCCUUAUUGUGUUGUUAUUACCCGUAAUUACUUAAAUGGUCAUUCAAUUAUAAUAAAUUUCUUAUCAAAUAUUAUUCAUUUUCUUCGUCUCAGUUUGUGUUGCACUUCUCGAAUUUAGAGGAUUCAAAUAAGAAUUUCUUUGUAAGUAAUUAUUUUUCUAUGUGUUUUAAUAUCUUGAAUUAUUAAAUAUUUGUGAUUUAUAUGUACUUUUUAUGUAUUCUUCAAAUAUGUAUAUAUAUUUUUUUUUUAAAAUUUCAUAUCUAAAUUUACGAUUAAAAUUAAACUAUUUAAUAAAUUUGACACGACGAAUUAAAAUCAUGAUGAAAUAUGUCUUCUUGUAUCAAAAAAUUCGUCAAGUAAGAGAGUUUAUCUAUCGAGUAAAUAUAGCUAGAAACAAAAAGAGAGAAUUAGAUUGAUUUAAAGGUUAAUAUAUAAUUCCCCUUUUGGUCAUUCCUCAUCCAUGUUAACAUUAACCUUCUUAUAAACUGUUGGUUAUUAAGCAUUUUAAUAUUAUUUUAUAUUAAAGUAGCUUUUUUAUUUGACUUAAUGCUGCCAAACCAUUUUUUUGGUCAUGUUAAUGCCAAUUAUUCUUGGCUUUAUUGGUCAGAUGUCAUAUAUCCUAUAACGUUCCAGUGAACGUUGUGGUCAACAUCUUGGGCAGUUUUGCAUUUCCACGUUAGAGGCAUUGGGUUACCCCCUGUCAAUUAUUCCAUUCUUAAUUCCUCCAUUAUCCUUGGUAACCCUAUAUAACUUCUAAGACUAUUAUCUUCACUAUUUUACUACAUCAUUUAUCUUCUUAUUCAUUGCUAGGAAGACUUCUUCUAGUAUAAAUAGUAGUGGUCUUCAUUUGGUUUAUGACACAAGGAAAAUAUAAAGUGCAUAAAGUUUGUCAAAAAAAGAGUUCUUAUUAGUUGAAGGGAGGUGUUCUUUUUUGUGGAGAUUUGGACUCAAAUCUUGUCCAGAGUUGUUGAGUUAUACUUUGUGAAGGCUGUUGUAUCCUGGAGGGGACAAGUCAAAAAGGACUACUGCUCGACCGAUAAAAAAACAUUUGCUGCAGUGAACUUGAAUCUCCUUAAAGAGAGCGAGAUAUCCGCGCCUCAACCAAAAGAGAUUUAUUUCUUCAUUUUUAUUUUCAAUUGUAAUCUUGUAAUUCUGUUAUUUUGUAANNNNNNNNNNNNNNNNNNNNNNNNNNNNNNNNNNNNNNNNNNNNNNNNNNNNNNNNNNNNNNNNNNNNNNNNNNNNNNNNNNNNNNNNNNNNNNNNNNNNNNNNNNNNNNNNNNNNNNNNNNNNNNNNNNNNNNNNNNNNNNNNNNNNNNNNNNNNNNNNNNNNNNNNNNNNNNNNNNNNNNNNNNNNNNNUUUUGUGGAGCUUUGGACUCAACUCUUGUCCAGAGUUGUUGAGUUAUACUUUGUGAAGGCUGUUGUAUCCUGGAGGGGACAAGUCAAAAAGGACUACUGCUCGACCGAUAAAAAAACAUUUGCUGCAGUGAACUUGAAUCUCCUUAAAGAGAGCGAGAUAUCCGCGCCUCAGCCUGAAGAGAUUUAUUUCUUCAUUUUUAUUUUCAAUUGUAAUCUUGUAUUUUUUGUUAUCUUGUAAGUUUUUUCACUAACAUAAACUAAUUCAGAGUGUAUGACUCUAAAAUCUACAUUCCUGCACAUAAUGACCCUACAACCUUGCAUUCCUUACAAUAAUUAGACAAAUAAUUAUACUGUUUCACUUUCACUGUCCUUAUUUCUCCAAUAUUUUCAUCUUUUAUAUUCAUUCUAACAUGAUCGGGUAAGUUUUCCAUCAAGUCCACCGAAACCUUCACUUUUGCACAACUAAGUCGAAUCUUAUUGAUUAUUGUCAUGUCAAGAUGUAAAGGAGUGUCAACUGAUCGAUUAUGCCGAUGAGAAAAUAGAUUCCUUCACAUAGCAUGUGAGUAAAAGAUUUGGAAAUGGAGUCCAAGCCACGACUCUUUUGAAUCUUGAAUGAUAAAUCGAUGGUCUUUAUGAAUUUGCAUGAGAGAGAGAAAAUAUAAUUAGUUCUUCAAAUCAAGCUUUCAAUUUUAUGGGUGUACUUAUACAUAUAGAAUUGGCAUAUUUUAUUUAAUAAACUAAUAGCAUGUUAAUUUGGCCAAGUUUCUGAAUUCUGAAAUCACCAUAUUUUGAAAGGUAUUUUUGGUAAGAAAAAAUCUGCAUUUAGCUAGUAAAUUUUAAAGUAGUUUUAAGUAGCAAUUGGUAUUUGACCAAUUUUGCUAUAAGUGUUUUAAGUGUAAAAAAUUUAUUUAAUUAUUUUUAAUUAUUAAAAGAUGAUUAUUUUUUUUGUAGAAUAGACUUAAAUGAAAAAACUGGUUACAUAAAUUGAUACUCCAUUUGUUUUAAUUUAUUUGAUUUUUUUUUUAGUUAGUCUAAAAAAUGACAUUUUCUUAUAUAAAUAAUAUUUAGUGACACUAUCAAUAUUUAUCUAUAUGGAUCCCACUUAUUUGCCAAACGCUAAUUUGGUACUCCCUCUGAUACAAUACAAGUGACUUGUUAGGAUGUGACAUCCUUAGAAAAUAUAUAAGACUCGUCUAUUUUUCAAUAUAAAAUAAUGUCAAUAAUUCAUUUAUAUUGAGUUAGAGGGAGUAACCCCUAAUAUGUACUUUGCUUUAUUUGUUCCACGUAGGAGAAUAGUCAUAAAACAUGAUUUUUAUGUGCUAUAGAUAAAGUUUUAACAAUAAAAUACUUAACGCAAGAAAAUACACAAAACAUGAUUUGCGUUAAUUGAUAGGAUAAAGACAGGAAAUGGGCCUUACUAAAUCAAUCAACCAAAGUAGAUGAUGACUCUUUCUUUUGAUCACAUAAAAUUAAUAAUAUAUUUUUAUUUCUUCAUAUUUUAUUUGUAAUUGGAGUUUAUUUUUCCUACAUUAAUUUUUUUUUUUGCUAACAAUCUUAUUGUGUAUGCUGAAACAUAUAAGGGUUGUUUGGUAGAGUGUAUUAAAAAAAAUAAUGCAUGCAUUAGCCUUGUGGUACUAGUACCUUGUUUGAUAUUCUUCUCCAACCUAUGUAUAACUAAUGCUUGCAUUCAAGUUUAAGAACGAUCAAAAUCAAGACCAUCAGAUUCAAGAAUAAGCUCGAAGCCCUUGAAUUCAAGUAAACGUCAAGAUCAAAAUAAAGUUCAAGUUCAUCGAAGAUUCAACAACAAGCUUUAAAGCCCUUGAAUCCAUUUUUAUCCUAUUUAGAAAAUUUAGUUUUAACCCACUCUGCCCUACACUCGUAUAUAUGCCUAAACCUGCCCCGUUCCUCAUAUGUGAUAUUAUUAUUUCAUUAUUAGGUAUAAGAUAGUAAACGAUAAGGAAAGACAAUUUAUUAAGAAAGCCAUGCUAAAAUAUAUAUAGAUAUACCUUAGCAGGUGUUUAUUUUACAACAUAACAUAGUAGCUGGCCAGCAGGCAGGCUAAAACAUAGUAUAGUCUAGCUGCAGGCAUUAUUUGUUACUAGACUUCCUGGAAUAAGACAUCAAGAGGAUUUUCGUUGACAAGAGCCAAACGCCUUUUUCCAUUUUGAAUAACUACACCCACUUUUGCACAAAACUGAUCCUCAGGGCAACGUAGACAAAUAAUAGAAGUAAAUGGGCAAGACAAUAAGUUGUAACCAAUUUUUGAUGAUUUAACAAUCUUGAAAUAGCUGUUAUCUGCUUGCCCUAUGGUUCCUCCGGUCUCCAACAACAUCGUCCUAAAAUAUGCAUUUAGAUUUCCGACUUUCCAAAUUGUAUAACUAACACACAAUUUCACUGUUGGAAUAUUGAAUUGUAUGUUGAGUAGUUGAUCUUCAAAGAUAUUUGUAGAUAAAGGAAUGAAUCUAACGGGUGUACCGCUAGGUCCAACAUCGGAAUUGUAACGGAAUACGCCAUCUGGACAAGGGGCAUCUGAAUUUGGGGACUUUCCUAGGUAUACAUCACCACCUAAGGCACCCCUACCAAUGGAAAUAAUGCGAUAACUCGAAUUAGGAUUGAGUUCUUUACCAUUUGUGUCAAGUACCGGCUUAGGUAGAGGAGAUUCACUGGGUAGGUCAAUGAGAUUUUGGGAAGUGAAAGUUGAUGAAAACACCACAAUGGGAACCAAACACAAACAUAACAAAAAUAAACACUUCAUCUUGUUUAAGCUACUGAUUUUAUUGCUU